Molecule: long non-coding RNA, 1695 nt
Filed under: Malus domestica (apple)
Lineage: Eukaryota; Viridiplantae; Streptophyta; Magnoliopsida; Rosales; Rosaceae
Description: long non-coding RNA (MDOM_LNC013068)
Source: RNAcentral
GCAAUCCUACUACUCCAAGGUCACUCAUUUCUUCUCCAAUCUAAUCUUGGUGAAGAGACUUAGAGGUUCUCAAUUUUGGGAACUUGGAGAACCAUUUCAUCCACCCAAAUCCAUAGAUCUAAGAUGCAAGGAAUGAAGGCCCUCUCUUUGGGUGAUUAGCCUUUGCUUAUGCAUAGAGGAAUCUACAAAGGUAUAAUUUCUCAACUAACAAAUGUUGUUUUAAGUUGAGUCAAGGCUCACCAAUCUACUAGGCUUUGAAUUUCAUGGUUAAUGUUUUGUUUUUAAGUGCAUACAAGCAUGAUUCCGCCUUUUAAUUGUUAAUUGCAUGCUAUAGAUGUUGCUUAAAUGAAUAUGUUUUUCACAAAAUUUCCUUCAAGCAUUGCACGCAAAACAUGGUGAUUCCACUUUUGGCGGCAUCCAACCACUCUUUGCCGCAUUUGUGAUAGCCCUUUGCACAACAAAAACAUCGUCACGCAAAACAUGCUGCUUCCACAUUUGGCGCCAUCCAACCAUUUUUUGCCGUGUUUUUUUUAUAACACUUUGCGCGACGAACCACUGUUCGUUGUGCAAUACUUUUUUUUUAAUUGCUUUGUUUUUUUAAUUUGAAUUUUUCCAUUCAUUCUUCAAUUUUUUUCAAACCACAUAAAUAGUUAAUAAAUCAAAAACUUAUUUCAUUUAACCAUUUGUGCAUAAUUAAGGAAUAUAAAUAUUUAUUAAAAUGUAUUAAUUUUAUUCAAAAUUAAGUACAUGUUUAAGUAAACUGUCACAGCCCGUCCUGAAUUAUUUAGUUUCGACAAUGUGAAAUGACUAUUUUGCCCUUGGACGUUAGUGGUGUGGUGUGUGUUAUGCAUGUUAGUGGUGGUCCAAACUUAUGUUUUUCCUUAAUUUUGGACCCAAUUAGAACUUUUUUUUUUUUUAUAGUUUUUGGUUGGUGACCAAGCUGGACACACACACACACACACACAUUCACACGUACCAUACACACAAAAACACUCAGAUCUCUCUCUCCUCCCUCCCGCAUUUUCUGGCAUUUCCAUAUAACCCGUACGGACAAAUCUUCAACCUUCCAUUUUGGGCAUGGAUCGAGGUUUUAAAGGUAACAUUCAAAAUCUUUGCAAGCCUUGAAGUCAAUUUAUACCUUUAUUUGGACUUAAAACCUUCGAAAACCCUAGUUUCUCACGAACUCCGAUUUAGGUACUGUUCAUGCACUAAUUAUUGUGAGGUUUUUAAGAGUUUUUAAGGGCAUAGGAAGCUUUAGAUUGUUUUCACGAAGCUCGGAAAAGAAAAUUGAAGUGAUUUGGACGUCGGAAAGUUGAGUUUCGACGAGUUGCAGGUCUAGCCGGAUUAUCGAGGGAUUUUCUGGCAAGUUCCGUGGGUUUUAGGGCUUUUGGAAGGUAUGGUUGUGUUCUAUUCGUAUUAAGCUUCAAAUUGGUUUAAGUUUCAUGCAAUUUGGUUGAUAAAUGGACGAGAAAUGAAGGUUUUAAUGUUUUCCAGUUUUCGAUGACGGCGACGGUCACUGGAGUGCGAAGGUAGGGGAUGACGGAAUAUUUUGUUAAGUUUGACGGAAUAUUCCUAACGGCGUUGGUUAGUUUUAACGGUUUCCGUUACUUUUUAGUAGAAUAUUACACGAAAUAUUCCUAACGGGGUUAGGGGAUUCCUUUAGGGUGCGUUUGGUACGUGGGACGGGACGAGGCG